RNAcentral lists this ribosomal RNA (113 nucleotides) under Stolotermes victoriensis. Lineage: Eukaryota; Metazoa; Arthropoda; Insecta; Blattodea; Termopsidae. The record is from RNAcentral.
UAUGGCCAUACCAUGUUGAAAACACCGGUUCUCGUCUGCAUCACCGAAGUUAAGCAACAUUGCGCGUGGUUAGUACUUGGAUGGGUGACCGCUUGGGAACACCACGUGCCGUU